GAUUGAAAUAUAACUGGUUUUUUUUUUAGGAAAUAAAAAGUGUCUUAACAGAUCAAUGAUGCCACAAAAAAAGAAAAAAAUCAAUAGCUGUUAAAAGGAUUGAGGACAGAAAAAGAAAAAGAAAACAGAUUUGCAGCACACAUGAAAGUUCUAAUUCCUGUAUAAGUAUGGAAACUGUGAAAGAAUUUCCUUAAAAUGAACAAUUAGUGAAAGCAAAAAUAAAAAAAAAACUUUUUGCAAAA
This is a long non-coding RNA of Mytilus californianus (California mussel), 242 nucleotides long. RefSeq lists it as uncharacterized. The transcript is spliced from 2 exons. NCBI's taxonomy places the organism in Eukaryota, Metazoa, Mollusca, Bivalvia, Mytilida, Mytilidae. The record is from RefSeq and is a predicted model, not a curated record.